GUAUUUCAGUUAACACAUUAACAAAACCAAGAACAUUGACUUUUCAAGCACUGUAGUAGCAUUGAAAAAGACCUUAUAUAGAAACUUUCAUUUUAGAUGGAUUCAAACAUUCCAUAAGAAUUACCAAGAUCAUUGAGUACAAAUGCAACAACAGCAGUUCUACUUUGCUCAGACCUGUGAUAUUCUCUGUAAUUUGGUCAUCAUAUUCAUUAGUUCCAAUAAAAGAAAAAUUCAAAAUUCAGAUGCCUACAUCAUCAUUAAAUCCACAAGGAAAACAAAAUUUUUGGAAUCAACACUAAAUAUAUGAAAAUUACACAGUAACUGUUGAGAAUGCAAAAUCUCUCAGCUGAACUAAAUAUAUGGUAUAGGUGAACUGCUACUCAACAUUUUUUAACUGUCCAUCUUCUCCAUACAUGAAUGCCAACUAGUUUAGUGAGGCCAAGAAACGAAUCUGCAAAAUCAAUCAAAAGUCACGUAUAUCAUUGCCAUGAUUGGUAUUUAUUUGCAAACCAAGCAAUACAUCAUAGUAGUGACAGAUGGGUCACUCAAAAGAAAAAAGAAAA
Molecule: long non-coding RNA, 563 nt
Organism: Magnolia sinica
Lineage: Eukaryota; Viridiplantae; Streptophyta; Magnoliopsida; Magnoliales; Magnoliaceae
Exons: 2
Source: RefSeq, a predicted model, not a curated record